Molecule: ribosomal RNA, 471 nt
Filed under: uncultured eukaryote
Lineage: Eukaryota
Description: SSU rRNA
Rfam family: Eukaryotic small subunit ribosomal RNA
Source: RNAcentral
UCGUAGUUGAAGUUCUGGCUGUAUUGGGCCUCUGCACUCGAUGCGGAGGAACCAGCAGUCAUCCGCUUGCAAAAUACAUGUCCUUCCUUAACCGGUAGGCUGUAUAAGUAAGCACUUUACCUUGAGAAAAACAGAGUGUUCCAGGCAGGUUUGUCCGGAAUGCGUUAGCAUGGAAUAAUAGAAUAUGACUGAAGUCGAUUUAUUGGUUAAAGGCUUUAGUAAUGAUUAAUAGGAACAAUCGGGGGCAUUGGUACUUGUCAGUCAGAGGUGAAAUUCUAGGAUUUGACAAAAGACUAACUGAUGCGAAAGCGUUUGCCAAGAAUGUUUUCAUUAAUCAAGAACGAAAGUUAGGGGAUCAAAAGACGAUCAGAUACCGUCCUAGUCUUAACUAUAAAACUAUACCGACUCGGAUUCAGAUGAAUUUUAAAGUUACAUUUGGGACCGUAGGAGAAAUCAAAGUCUUUGGGUUCU